CUUACUUAUUGUUGACACUCCAUGUUAAGCUGGGACAGGAGAAAGUAUUUCAACAUUGAAAAAAUGACACACUUCAGUUUUAAGUCUACUUACUGCUCUGGAAAAUGAAAACAAAUAUGAAUUUCUUCCAUGAAACACAAACGCGGAAGUUCCAAAGAAGAAAAGAAGUCAUGGGUUUGGAACAACAUUAAGGGAAGGUCAACACAAUCCAUCUUGGUGAGUUAAUUGUUUCCAGUCAGCUGUUGGAGCUACUGGAAUGUUGGCUUCUAUCAACAUAUCCAAUGACCUGUCAAUUACAUUCUGACUUCCGCAUGACUUCCUGUCAGAGGAAGGUCUCUUCACUUCACACACUCAGCUGGACAGAGACUCGCAUUAGAGACAAGGAUGUGGUCAGACUGUACAGAGGUCUCAGCCCUUGAUGCUUUUGUGCUGGAGAGAAAUGCAGCCUUAUUGUAAUACUGUAUAAAACAUUUACAGUGUUGAUUCUUGAGAUAUGGGACAAAAAAUGUCCCACAGUUUUACCUGCCAUUAGUAUUCAAAAUAGCAAUACUACUACUAUGAUGAAAAAUAUACAUCUUUAAUAAGGUUUUACAGCAUCACAGUCCAUAUACUUUUUGUCAAAACGGUCAGAUAUUUAUGAAAACAUUAAAAAGUUGUCAAUUUCAAAGUCAGACUUCAUCUUGAAGGCCAUCUUUCCACAUUUCACCUGAUUCAAGGGCAAACAGGCUCCAUUGUGUUUUUUUAAAUUUUAUUUAUUGUUUUUUUUAUUGC
Molecule: long non-coding RNA, 771 nt
Organism: Myxocyprinus asiaticus (Chinese sucker)
Lineage: Eukaryota; Metazoa; Chordata; Actinopteri; Cypriniformes; Catostomidae
Exons: 4
Source: RefSeq, a predicted model, not a curated record